GUGUCAGCAGCCGCGGUAAUACGGAGGGUGCAAGCGUUGUCCGGAAUCACUGGGUGUAAAGGGCGCGUAGGCGGACCUGUUAGUCAGAGGUGAAAUCCUGCGGCUUAACCGUAGAACUGCCUUUGAUACUGCAGGUCUUGAGUUCGAAAGAGAGUAGCGGAAUUCCAGGUGUAGUGGUGAAAUACGUAGAUAUCUGGAAGAACACCAGUGGCGAAGGCGGCUACUUGGUUCGUAACUGACGCUGAGGCGCGAAAGCGUGGGGAGCAAACAGGAUUAGAUACCCUGGUAGUCCACGCCGUAAACGAUUAAUACUAGGUGUUGGCUCCGUUAGGAGUCAGUGCCGCAGCUAACGCAUUAAGUAUUCCACCUGGGGAGUACGAUCGCAAGGUUGAAACUCAAAGUAAUUGGCGGGG
This 413-nucleotide ribosomal RNA is filed under the name uncultured prokaryote. Its description in RNAcentral is "bacterial SSU rRNA". It matches the Rfam family "Bacterial small subunit ribosomal RNA", at positions 505 to 918 of the family's 1533-position model. The record is from RNAcentral.